This 364-nucleotide ribosomal RNA is filed under the name uncultured bacterium. RNAcentral describes it as "partial 16S ribosomal RNA". It matches the Rfam family "Bacterial small subunit ribosomal RNA", at positions 338 to 699 of the family's 1533-position model. The record is from RNAcentral.
CCUACGGGGGGCAGCAGUGAGGAAUAUUGGUCAAUGGACGCAAGCCUGAACCAGCCAUGCCGCGUGCAGGAUGACGGACCUAUGUGUUGUAAACUGCGUUUGUAUGGGGGUAAACCCCGAUACGUGUCCCGGGAUGAAAGUAUCGUACGAAUAAGGAUCGGCUAACUCCGUGCCAGCAGCCGCGGUAAUACGGAGGUGCCGAGCGUUAUCCGGAUUUAUUGGGUUUAAAGGGUGCGUAGGAGGUUGGAUAAGUCAGGGGUGAAAUGUGGGGGCUCAACCCCGGAACUGCCUUUAAUACUGUUGGACUGGAGAAUAGUUGCGGUAGGCGGAAUGUAUGGUGUAGCGGUGAAAUGCGUAGAGAUCA